AAUGCAUCUCCUGUACUGUCAUUCCCAUAGCAAUGAAUAUUACUAAUCUGUAACAUAUCAUUGAUAUGCAGAAGAAACAGGGUCGGAGAUAGUACAGAACUUUACGUUUCUUGAGAAAACUGGCGUCCAAACUGUACAAUCUCGCAGGCAACCCAAACGAGGGUAGUUUCAAGAGCAGCGUUUUGUGCGAUAUCGGAUCAAAGGCUUUCGCAAUAUCCAGACUAACAGUUAAGGCCUCUCCCUUAUUCUUGAGUGCCACUGCCCAUCGGUGUGUUAAAUAAACCAUAAGAUCAUCUCCCUUUUUAGGAAUCGGAUAUACCAGGACAGUCGUCCAAAACUUUGGGACUAUACCUGAUGAGUAACAGAGCCGAAAAAGACGCGUAAGAACCGGAAGCCAACUCUGGCGUACACCUCCUAAGCACAAUUGGAGGAAUACCAUUGGGUCCACUCGACUUAUGGAUUUCAAGGGAAAGAAGUGCUCUACGCACUGAGCUUUGCGUGAAUUUAAUAUCAAGCAUAGAGAUCUUACAACGCGGGAUUGACGCAAAGAGGGAUCCAAGGAGUUCGGCCUUUUCUUUGACGCACAGAGCCAACGAGUUAUCCUCGCUGCGCAAUGAUGGAAAAGAUGACUAACAGAAAUUCCCUUGUGCAGCUUUGGCAAGAGACCGGAAAGCUCGAGAUCCCGAAGGACACUGGUAUUUGGAUCUCGCGACUCCAAAUCUUUAGCCCAGGCUAGGAAGCACUCCUGUUUCAAACGAGAUGCUGUUCUACAAGAGGCUCCAUACCAAGGCUGGGAUUUCUCACAGACGGGCACCACAGAAUUAGGAAUAAAUAAUUCCAUUCAUCCAACAUAACGGAAAGGUUGUUAUAGCUGAACAUGAAUACAGGUCUGUUGGUCCUUUAUGGCGUCUUUACUAGGAAUUAAGUUGAUGAUUUUCAGAGAAAUCACAACGCGGUUCAUUUGUUAGGUUGUAUUACUAGCAAUGGAGCGGCUGGUCUCCAUUAUUAACAUUAUGCGUCACAUAUUUUAUUAACCAGGCAUAAUAUUUCAUGAUAUUGUGCUAUUGUGCCUUGCUACUAUGCUAUUCAGGAAUACAGAUCCAACAAAAUACAAUAAGCAUUGCUCCAUCACAGUGUGUAAGUAAUCUAAUUUAAAUCUUACUGGUGUAACAGAUGCUAAAUAUAGACGGAUGAUAUAUA
Galleria mellonella (greater wax moth) is the source of this 1200-nucleotide long non-coding RNA. RefSeq lists it as uncharacterized. The record is from RefSeq and is a predicted model, not a curated record. The transcript has 2 exons. Lineage: Eukaryota; Metazoa; Arthropoda; Insecta; Lepidoptera; Pyralidae.